RNAcentral lists this ribosomal RNA (785 nucleotides) under Bacillus subtilis. RNAcentral's name for it is "bacterial SSU rRNA". It matches the Rfam family "Bacterial small subunit ribosomal RNA", at positions 574 to 1349 of the family's 1533-position model. The record is from RNAcentral. Lineage: Bacteria; Bacillati; Bacillota; Bacilli; Caryophanales; Bacillaceae.
GGCGGUUUUUUAAAGUUCUGAAUGUGAAAAGCCCCCCCGGCUUAACCGGGGAGGGUCAUUUGGAAAACUGGGGAAACUUGAGUGCAGAAAGAGGAGAGUGGAAUUCCACGUGUAGCGGUGAAAUGCGUAGAGAUGUGGAGGAACACCAGUGGCGAAGGCGACUCUCUGGUCUGUAACUGACGCUGAGGAGCGAAAGCGUGGGGAGCGAACAGGAUUAGAUACCCUGGUAGUCCACGCCGUAAACGAUGAGUGCUAAGUGUUAGGGGGUUUCCGCCCCUUAGUGCUGCAGCUAACGCAUUAAGCACUCCGCCUGGGGAGUACGGUCGCAAGACUGAAACUCAAAGGAAUUGACGGGGGCCCGCACAAGCGGUGGAGCAUGUGGUUUAAUUCGAAGCAACGCGAAGAACCUUACCAGGUCUUGACAUCCUCUGACAAUCCUAGAGAUAGGACGUCCCCUUCGGGGGCAGAGUGACAGGUGGUGCAUGGUUGUCGUCAGCUCGUGUCGUGAGAUGUUGGGUUAAGUCCCGCAACGAGCGCAACCCUUGAUCUUAGUUGCCAGCAUUCAGUUGGGCACUCUAAGGUGACUGCCGGUGACAAACCGGAGGAAGGUGGGGAUGACGUCAAAUCAUCAUGCCCCUUAUGACCUGGGCUACACACGUGCUACAAUGGACAGAACAAAGGGCAGCGAAACCGCGAGGUUAAGCCAAUCCCACAAAUCUGUUCUCAGUUCGGAUCGCAGUCUGCAACUCGACUGCGUGAAGCUGGAAUCGCUAGUAAUCGCGGAU